AAGCAAAGCCGUAGAUAUCCUCUUCCUGCUACACAUAGUAUUAGCCUACGUAAGGUCAUUACGGCGCCGUUUCCCUUUUUAAUUGGCGUAGUUCAACUCAUCAUCCACCCAAGUUCAUUUCGUUCAAAGCUAUAAAUAACCCCUCAAACCAUUCAACUUUCCCACCACCACUCCUCACUCCUUCAACUCAUUAACCUCUCUCUCUCUCUCUCCUUCAACUCAUUAACCUCUCUCUCUCUCUCUCUCUCUCUCAUUUUCAUCCGCAAAUGGCGAACCGUAGAAGCCUCUUUUCUCUCUCACUUAUCUUUGUGUUCAUGAUCAACUCAGCCAUAGCCACUCCAGUCACAUACAAUGUGGCCAGUUUAGGAGCCAAAGCAGAUGGCAAGACUGACUCCACAAAAGCCUUCCUCUUUGCAUGGGCUAAAGCUUGUGCCUCGAUGAAUCCCGGUGUCAUUUAUGUGCCGGCAGGAACGUUCUUUCUUCGCGAUGUGGUGUUCAGUGGGCCUUGCAAGAACAAUGCCAUCACCUUCCGCAUUGCCGGAACCCUUGUGGCCCCGUCGGAUUACCGGGUCAUCGGUAAUGCAGCUAACUGGAUUUUCUUUCACCAUGUAAACGGGGUUACCAUAUCAGGUGGAAUUCUUGACGGCCAAGGCACGGCCUUGUGGGCUUGCAAGGCCUCUCAUGGCGAGAGUUGUCCCAGCGGAGCAACGGUAAUUAAUUCACUACUUUAAAUAUCAUAUUCAUGACACCAUUAAAUAUCAAAUUCAUGACACCAUUAUUUUGUGCUUCAUUAUUAGUGAGAAUUUUAAAGGUCAACGUACGUACAAUUUGCUUUAUUAUUUGCUACCAAUUGAAUUGAGGGUUUAUAAAAUAAGUUUAAACUCUACAGAACGUAAUCAAAUGGACAUGAUAAAUUGUACCACAAGCUUAGCUUGAUCAAGUAAUUUCGUGUAUAUAUGUGCAGACUUUGGGUUUUUCCGACUCAAACAACAUCGUGGUGAGUGGAUUGGCAUCCCUAAACAGCCAAAUGUUCCACAUAGUCAUCAACGACUGCCAAAAUGUGCAAAUGCAAGGUGUCAGGGUUUCUGCUUCCGGGAACAGCCCUAACACCGAUGGCAUUCAUGUCCAAAUGUCAUCUGGUGUCACAAUCCUCAACUCCAAGAUUGCAACCGGUGACGAUUGUGUCUCAAUUGGCCCCGGAACCUCAAAUUUGUGGAUAGAAGGCGUUGCUUGUGGACCUGGCCAUGGAAUUAGGUACGACAUCAAAAUUAUAUAUUUAUCCAUGAUUGAUCAAACUAGCUAAAUGCAUACUAUUUCAUAAUAUAUGUUAUAAUGUAUAUCUUUUUUCUUCGUUGCUUAAUGACAUUUGAACUUAGGACAUCUUUCAAUAAAGUGGAGAUUAAUUGGUUGCUAGUAGAGAUUCAUUGCCUACAAAAAGUAUAUCUUUCUUUUGGGUGGAUGUUCUAGUUGUAAAUUUAACAUUGCUUUAUUUGAUGGUUCAGCAUUGGAAGUCUAGGCAAGGAGCAAGAAGAGGCCGGUGUACAAAAUGUAACAGUUAAAACGGUUACCUUUACUGGUACUCAGAAUGGUCUAAGAAUCAAGUCAUGGGGGAGGCCAAGCACUGGGUUUGCUAGAAAUAUUCUUUUCCAACAUGCUACAAUGGUCAAUGUCGAAAAUCCUAUUGUCAUAGAUCAACAUUAUUGCCCCGACAACAAAGGGUGCCCUGGUCAGGUAAGAUAUCAUUCUUGCUCUAACGGUCAAUUCCCAGAGUUUAAUAUUACAACUAAAUUUUCUCUUCUUCACUUUCAUAGUGUAACGUUUUUGAUAAAAACGUUGGCAUCGCCAAAUUAUAACUGUCUAAUUUCGAAACAUAUCAAAAGCUUUCUUGGGCUUCCACCUAGAAGAGCCAAUAAUUUUAGACCCAAAGCAAAUCCAAUAACUCCUUCUUCCAUGGGCUUGCUCUCCUACUACUUACAAAGGUCGAGCCUUGCCCAUUGUAACCUUUGUAACUUAUUAAUUUCAUUGUAUGUGCAAUGAGAUUGAGGGUUGUAGCUUAAGUGGUUAACAAUAUUUACUCAUGUAUUCGAAGUUCUAGAUUUAAUUCCCCUCUUUUCCAAUACCAUUUUUAUCAAAAUGACUUCAUCGUAGCUUAGCCAAAAAAGCAUUAAACUUCCCAUUAAGCCGAAUUACCAUGCUAUAAUGCUUGUUCACCUUCUGUUUUAUCAAAAGCUGGAAAUCUGACUUCCUAUUGUUUUUUUUCUUUUGUCAAUUUUGUUUUUCGAUAGGUUUCCGGAGUUCAAAUUAGCGAUGUGACAUACGAAGACAUACACGGUACAUCAGCAACAGAAGUUGCAGUAAAAUUUGAUUGCAGUCCCAAGCACCCUUGCAGCGAGAUCAAAUUGGAGGAUGUGAAGCUUACUUACAAGAACCAAGCAGCUGAGUCUUCAUGUAGCCAUGCAGAUGGAACAACUGAGGGUGUGGUUCAGCCUACAAGUUGUUUGUAGAGUGGAAAAAUAUGAACUGCUUGUAGAAGUAUUGAAAUCCAAAAGUUUGCCCUCCAGUACUAAGGACAAAUGAAAAGUGAAUUAUACGAUUUAUAUAGGAAGAAUGAGCUUGUGUUGUUGGCAGCCUACUUGGGCUUCCCUUGAGCCUGGCCGUUCAAUUAGUUUAGUUUGUUCAAACUCGUCCACUUCGAUGGGUGUUUAUGUUAUGAAUUGUUGUAAGAUUAUGUUCGGGAUACGUUAAAUUUAUAAGAUUAAAUUUUAUGUUGAUGGCUAAUGUGGCAUUUGACAUAGGAUUCAAUAUUCUAUCAAUUUAAUUCACAAUUUUAUUAUAAUCGAAGCACACAUUAAAUAGUAAAAAUUUGGUUCAAGAAACAAAAGGAUUUGAAGUCUCGCAUGAACUUUUUGGUUGGAGCAUUUUCUCAUGUCAAAUUUUACCCGUUAAAAAUUUAUUAUGAUAUUUUAACAUUUCGGUUGGAGUAUUUUUUUCAUGUCAAAUUUGACCCGUUAAAAAUUUACUAUGGUAUUUUAGCAUUUCGGUUGGAGAUGUAUAAAUCUUAAAAAUGCAUUCAAGAUGCAUUUUUGUUUCUUAAGCUUUGAGCUUUAGGUAAUUAACUUUAAAUGUUGUUGGGCACCUUGCACUAGUUGAUUAAAGAAAAAUAGACCCGAAGCAAGAUUCCUUGUAGUUGCCAAUUCGAAGUUUUCUUUAUCGCUACAUACUUACUGGUCUACAAGUUCUCUCUCUAAUACAUAAUUUGACAUAAAUAAAUACAGUGAAGAGUGCAUUGACUAAACAGAAAAAAAAACAAAAAAAGCAGCACGUAAGCAAUUACGUGCAUUUGGUGUAAAAGCUAAAGGCCUCUGAUUUAUGUAAGCAGUUACGGUAAUCAUAUUAUAUUAUAUGUAUCUUAGUUCUGCAAUUGUAACAGGAAUAAUAUUGUUUUGUUAUCCCCAAUCAAUAAUACAAUGAUACGUGAAAAAGUUAUUUAACAUGUCAUUGCGUUAUUAGCUGGGGAUAGCAAACAGUGCUAUCCCCAUUACAUGAAAGUCUUUCUCCUGCAUAUCCUAUUAUACUAUUAUAAAACUCAAUUGGUCAAUCAUAGUGAAAAAAAUAUAGUGAAAGAAAAAAGAAGAAGAAGAAAAUAUCAAUUAAGCCCCUCUUAUAUUGAACACUUCAAUAAUAAAAUAAAAAUUGCAUAUGGAGUAAAGUCAGUCAGUUAAGAUAGUAUGCUAGUUCUUUUGCACCUGAGUUCAAUUUCCUUCCCCGAACAUUUUCAAAUAAAUAAUAAUAAAAUAAAAUGUGAAUUUGAUAGUCAAUGUCGUAGUAAAAUAUGGUUUUUUAGUAUCAAUAUUAAGGAAAGCCAUUGUUCUUUCUAGCAGAAUGCCCGCCACUGCUAGAGAGAGAGAGAGAGAGAGAGCGGAAUGGCAGAAGUGAGUAACAAGCAGGUGAUACCGAGGGAGUAUGUCACUGGCUUUCCCAAAGAGUCAGACUUGUACGUGAAUAGCACUGCUACUAUCAAGUUGAAGCUUUCUGAGGCCCCCGAGCAUGAGGGUUCUUCAAAGAAACUAGUUCUAGUGAAGAAUCUUUACUUGUCCUGCGAUCCCUACCAACGACUAUUUAUGGAAAGAAUCGAAGGCCUCAGCAGCCAAUCCACUUCCUCCUAUACGCCUGGUUCUGUAAGCAAAACCCAUCAUAUAUCUUUUCCUUUCAAUUUCUGUAAACAUAUAUACCAAAUGUUAUGCUCAAAUAUAUAUUAAUUGUUAAACAUUGUUCCCUUAAAAAAAACAAUUUAUUGCAAAAUUGGAAUAUACAAGAGGUAACUCUGCACAAAUAUUAAUGACAAGAUGAGGUGGCUAAAAGCACUGUUAAUGUCUAUCAGCGCGCAAUGAGCACGAAUAACUGUGAUUAUUAAGUAGUAGGAGCUGAUAGUUGUUUUUGUUACCACAUCCUAUGCCACAAAUAUUAAUUAUUACCAAUUAUUCUUCUAGUAAUGCUUGUUUUUUUGUUGAUGGCAACAUUGGGAGGAGGGAAUCAAAUACAAGUUUGAUCAUAUGAUUAAUUUAAUUUUGUUGGUGUAAACGUGCAGCCAAUAUACGGGUAUGGAGUGGCUAAAGUUUUGGACUCUGGGCACCCAGAUUUGAAGGCAGGUGACUUAGUUUGGGGGACUACCUAUUGGGAAGAGUACAGCCGAAUCCCUGAACCCGAAGGCCUGAUCAAAAUCCAGCACACUGAUGUACCUCUAUCCUAUUAUACUGGAAUUCUUGGUAACAAGUCAAACCUAUUUUAGAUCAUGAUGAUAUGUGUUGGUUUAGAUACGUAAGUGUAUUUUUUGUAAUUUCAUUUCAGGUAUGCCUGGUUUGACCGCUUAUGUUGGUUUCUAUGAAAUUUGUUCUCCUAAGAAAGGAGAACAUGUCUUCAUUUCAGCAGCAGCUGGUGCUGUUGGUCAGCUUGUUGGACAAUUUGCAAAAUUAAUGGGUUGUUAUGUUGUUGGAAGUGCUGGCAGUAAGGAAAAGGUACGAACUUGAGAAAUCUUUGAACUUCAAAUUAAUAUUAUCUACACCAUUUUUUCUUGUUUGGGUUGUAUUUUGCUGUUGUUAUUUGGGCCAACUUUGGUGUUGGUUUGGUUUGGGGCCUCUGUUUGUGCGCUGGGACUACAAUGAGUGGAAAGUUAUAAGGGGUAAGUUAUAAGGGGUUCACUUUAUAGCCAUCAGAUCAAUCCAAGGGCUGGGGAGAAUUGAGAUAAAGUUUCACAAUUGGGUAGGUGAGGAACCCAAACCCGAAUUGAAUAUCCAGCACGUCCAAAAAGAAGAAGAAGAGGGAAACACGUUCGAAAAAGAAGAAGAAGAGGCAAGUUCGAAGUUUGAACAGAAAGAACUCAUCUCUCUAAAACCCAGAGGUCUGAGAUACCCAAUGAAGGCAACGGCUAACGACAGUUGAAGGCAACGAUUCGCCACUCCGUUCUCCAGACCCUGAAAAAGUAUUUAUUUGGAGUAGAAGGGGCAAAGGUGUGGAUUCCAAAUCAAUGAAGGGGCGAAGCAGUGGAAGGGGAAGGGGAGAAGCUAUAAUCGUUGGAAGUGGUAGGUUCCAUUUGUGGAGCAAAGAAACAGAAAGACCCCACACAGACACCUUGCAAUAACCAGCAUUUGGUGAGUAAUUUAUGGAAUUUGAGUUUAGGGUUAGAGUAAUGGUUUUCCUCAAUUUGUAGCAUAAAUUUUGUUGGAUUUGGCAUCUCUUCGUUGUGCUUGAGUUGCAUGUUAAUUUUUGCUUAGGUAUAUGUUAAAAAAAGAAUGAAAAUCAAGUCAAUAACAAGUGAAUAACAUGUCAAUAAUGAUAUGAAUAAGAUAAUGGUGUUGAAUUGGAGGAGGCCCUCAAAACCUUCCACAUUUGAAGCAGUGCAUAGUGCAGAUUAAGAAGAGGCGGUAGAAUAUAUAUAUAUAUAUAUAUAUAUAUAUUUUAUGAAGUAAAUAUGAUUUCCUUUGUUACUAAAUUUGCCUGAGAAACAUUUGAACAGAUAAUAAUAAACUCAUGAAUAGAAGUGCAAAGCAUUUGAUGAGUAAUUUAAGGAAUUUGAGUUUAGGGUUAGAGUAAUGGUUUUCCCCAAUUUGUACCAUCAAUGUUGUUGGAUUUGGCAUCUCUUAUUUGUGCUUCAAUUGCAUGUUAAUUUUUGCUUGGGUAUAUGUUAAAAAACGAAUGAAAAUAGAGUCAAUCACAUGUCAAUAACAUCUCAAUAACAUGUCAAUAACAUGUUAGUAAUGAUAUGAAUAAGAUAAUGGUGUUAAAUUGGAGGAGGCGCUCAAAACCUUCCACAUUUGAAGCAGUGCAGAGUGAAGAGUACCUCUCUGGCCCUAGAAUUUAUAUAUUUUGUGAAAUAAAUAUGAUUUCAUUUGUUACUAAAUUUGCCUAUGAGAAAUGAGAACAGAUAAUAAUAAACUCAUGAAUAAAAGUGCAAAGCAUUUGAAAUGAAGGUUGAUCUAUGACGAUUGUGGGUGACUGAAGAAAAAGCUAGAAAGAAAGAAGGAUGUGGCAAUUGCUUAGCAAGCAGAUAGCAGAGUAGAUGCUUUGCUUUGCUUCCUUCCACUAUAUUUCUUAUUUAUUUAUUUUGUGUUGUGUAUGAGAUGACAAUAAUUGUCAUGUGUGUGAAGUGCAGAACUUGCCUACAUUGCACUCACACGAGUAUGGAUCCAUAAAUAAAACACGUGAAAUUGUUUGUAAUUCACAUAAUCAUUGCAUUAACAGGUAUUUGCACAAAAUUUGUCAUAUUGCUUUGAUGAUGUUAAAGCCUAUGAUCAGUAAUCCGUAUGCUCAUGUACUUUGUAAAAUUUGUAAUGUGCCUGGUUGACUAGUUGUGAUUGUGCAAAUACGUGGCAGUAUAUGUGUUCACGUUAUUUCACAUUGUAUUUGAGGAAAUGGGAUCCAACGUGGAGCUGGUAUGGCCAGAGGCAGAGGCAUAUUCGUCACGGGUGAACAACUGCUCACAUGCAAAUUCAUCUCUAGCUGCAAUUCGAGCGAAGUUGAGUGCGGAACAAUUAGAACAAUUCAAGACAUCAUGCUUUGGCCAUCUUCUGAAUAUAGAUAAGAUUCAGUUUAGCGGGCAGAUUGUGCAUGGGGCUGUGUUGCGUAGAGUAGCGGGGCAGGGUGUGAAAGACUUGGAUGGACUGAGUUUCUUAUUAGGGUGUGACGUUGCUCAGUUCACUCGUCAGGAUUUCUGUUUGAUCACAGGGCUUCGUUUUGGGGAAGUGCCUGAAGUUUCCAGUGGAGAGAGUGAUGUAAUCAGACUUCAGAAAAGAUAUUUUAUAGACGAAGGAAUUACAUGCAAUGCUUUAGAAGAAGCAUUUAUGGGGUGCACAGAGGAAGAUGACAUCUACAAGCUAGCUCUUGUUUACUUUGCUGAGUUAGUGGUUUUGGGAAGGGACAAACAUUUGAACAUCAAUCUAAAUUACCUGACCCUUGUAGAGGACUUGGAUGCGUUCAACAGGUAUCCGUGGGGUUCGGUGUCCUUUGACAAAACCCAAGACAGUCUAUUUUCUGCACCAACAAAGUAUGUGAAAAGCUUGCAAAAUGAAGAGGGAAGAGGGAAGGGGAAAAGUAAGGUAACGGGAACAAGCCGGAGAAAUGAGAAGGGCAGGAAGGAUAAGCAUGGUGAAGCGCAAAGGAGUGGCUGGAGUUUUAAAGGUUUCACGUAUGCUUUCCAGGUACAUGGUAAUAAUGUUCAUGUGAGUUAUGUUUUGUUUUUCUUUAAAACAUAAAUAAUGACUUUUGUCCUGUGAAUUGUGUAGAUUUGGGUAUAUGAAUUAAUUCCUAGAAUGGCGGACCUGAAUUACUGCAAGGUUGUUGAUCCGACCGCUGUCCCGCGUAUUUUGCGAUGGAGAACUACUACGUCUGUUCCAGAGAUGAGAAAGUUGAACAAUUAUUUUUUCCAGAGCAAAGAGGUUUGGUUUGCAGCCCUUGGAACUAUUGAUAAGAUUGAAUGAAAUUUUGAAGUAGAAUGAUUUAAUAUGACUGUGGUUUGUAUUCUGAAACAGUCAGUUCAGUUGCGGGCGCUAUGUCCGAGUGAAGAGGAAAUGAGACAGCCAUAUUGGAGUUGGCCACAGGAUCGCCCUGAUGAGACAGCCAUAUUGGAGUUGGCCACAGGAUCGCCCUGCUGUUGUCUCGGCAGAGUCAAUUCCUUCUUUAUGUGGUGAUCUUGAUCAGUUGAACAAGGUGGUAAGCUUGUUGAGGUCCGAGUUGUUUCAAGUAAAGCGGGAAAAAGACGUCCUUCACUUAAAGGUCAUACGGAUGGAAAAACUGUUGGACCAAUGUUUAGGUCCUCAGUUUGAGCAGGAAGUAAGGAGGGACCUAGCUUUACUGAAACAGAGGACGAAGCGUUGUGUCGUCUCACAUCUAUUUAGGGGAUAUCGGGAAUUGGAUGACAUUCAAUGGGAUGAAGGGCCAAGUAACAGAAAUGAGGGAGAGGAAAAGGAAGAUGAAGGGAUUGAAGGGGGUGAAGGGCCAAGUAAUAGAAAUGAGGGAGAGGAAAAGGAAGAGGAGGGGAUUGAAGGAGAGGAAAAGGAAGAGGAGGGGAUUGAAGGGGGUGAAGUGCAAGGAAUACCAAGUGAGGUAGAGGAAGGGCAAAGGAAAAGAAGUGAAGGAGAGCAAGUGCAAGUAAAAAGUAGCAAAGGAGAGGAAGCCCAAAGACAGAGCAGUGAGGGAGAGGAAGUGAAAAGAAAAAGCAGUAAGGGAGAGAAACUGCAAAGGAAAAAAAGGGAGGGCAAGGAAGUGAAAACACAAAGAAGUGAGGAAAAGGAAGUGCAAAGAAACCAAUGUGAGAAAGAAGAUAAUGAAGUUAUGUUGCUUGGGGAUGACAUUGGCGAGAGCACGGAGGGGACACUGCUUGAGUUUACUGUCGGGGACAUUGAUUUGGAUCAACCUACAGCUGUGCUAUCUCAGUUGAACGUGUGGUUGAAUGAUAAAGGUAAAGCUGUGGCACAAGGGGUCCAAUUACGGAAAAGGAAGAGGAUCAUUCCUAUGUGGAAGAUCAUUGAAGGCAUUGAAUUGGUUCCAAAAACUGGGGCACAGACAACCGGACUGAAGAUGUUAGACCCAAUGAAGGCGAUUCCGCAUGAUGAUCUGGUGAAUUUGCUGAAACUUUGUUGGGAAUGGCGCCAGGACCCAAAGUAAGUCCCUUGCAAUUAUAAGAUAGAAGCACGACUGUAUAUAAUUUUUAAUAUACAGUGUUCUAAAACUGUUUUAUAUUCAUAGUUUAGUGAUGCAAUUUGGCAACGUGGAAGCUGAGAUUGAAUUCUUCGCUUCCCUCGUGAAAGCUGAUGGUUGGCUGAAAGGAGAUGUAAGUGUAAUUGAUUAUGCAUUUGUUUUAAUGUAUAUAGAUUAUGAGAUUGACAAGAACAACAUGUUGCAGCACAUUGAGUUGGGGUUGUAUCUCAUCCGGAAGCGACAACAACAGUUUGAGGAAGUAGAAAUAGCGGACUGGACAACGACAGAUGUUUUUUUUAUGGUAUGUCAUCGGCCUUGACCAAGUGCCGUUAAUAAUUACACAUUUUCCAUACAGACAAUAGUGGAGGUGUUUAACCAUUGAUUGUUUUGUAUUUCACAGAAUCACAUUCGAACUUGCUUUGCGGAUAAUAAAAGAAAAAAACAGCAGCUUGGGUGGAAAAUCAGAAAAAGUUUACUAAACGUUGUAAAUGGGAAGGUUCCUCCGUGUGGGAUGGAUUGGCAGAACGUCUAUACGGUGUAUACCCCAGUUAUGUUGACGAAGUACAAGCAUUGGGUGGCUGUAAUGAUUGAUCUGGUAUUGUGUGAAAUCAAAGUGUACGAUUCAAAGGUUUCACUAAUUCCAGAUGACAUCGUAAAGGAAGAACUCGCCCCGCUAUCAAUUAUGCUUCCAAAUCUUCUCAACACCAUCGACUUUUAUGAAGAAGGUGUUUAUGCAAACAAUUGCAUGCGAGAUUGGUGGUGUCCGUGGCCAAUAGAGCGUGUGGAUGUUCCACAACAGUCUAAUGAGUAAGCACAACUUGCAAUUUAAUUUUAUUACUUUCAAUUGUCAAUUACGUUAGAAUGUCAUUAGUUGAAUUGAUCGAGUUCUUGUUUUGCUUCAGAGGCGAUUGUGGCAUGUUUGUGUUAAAGUACAUUGAGCUUAUCAGCGCUCAGCUUUCGUUAGCUAUUUGCACCUCGCACAACAUGCCUUUUUUUCGGUUGAAAUUGGCUGCGGAGAUAACAAGGGGAGAUGCUUACUUCCCAUGAUAUUGGUUGAAGAUGACAAAUGGUACAUGAGAAGGUUUUGGGAAUGUCCAUUCUCAAACUAAUGUAAAUACACAAUAGAGACGUACGUGUCCUUUUCGAAUUCUACCGCUAACUCCUUCAUGACAUUUACAUGUUUGUUAACCAAACUGCAUUGAAUUGGAAUUUUAAGACUGCAUAUGUUAAUUGGGAUUUGAAGAUGGCUUUUUAAGUGUAUUACACCAUUGCAAAGUGAUAUGUCAUUGUUGAUGCAAGCCACCAUUAUUCGCAAUGAGUUGCAUCAUAAUAGGUGUGUAAACAUGCGAAAGGUUUUCGGCAGCUCAGUAGCAUAAAAGUAGAAACAAUUACAAUAUACACAAAAUGAACAACAAUUCACUUGCGUUUGGACAAGCAAUACAGACACAACAGACAAACAAUAUACACAAAAUUGGCCUGCCAUAUACAGACAUACACACAGUAGACAUGCAAUAUACACACAGUAGACAUGCAAUAUACACACAAUAGACAUGCAAUAUACACACAAUACACAUGCAAUAUACACACAAUACUCCCUUAACACACACAAUAGACAUGCCCUUGCCCACAAUAAUGAUGCAAUAUACUUCAGUCCCCAAGUACACCAACCAUAAGGAAGUCGUAUUGAAUAGGAUAUUAAACUUAACAGUUGUUCUUCCUACUAAAAGAAAGAAUAACGUCCGUUUCCCCCCUUCAUUCUUACUUCAGUGAUACUUGUGGCCCCAAUAAACAUCCAAUAUUGGGUCAAGGAUAUUCCAUAUACAUGCAGCAAACUAUCAAUAAACCUUCAAUAAACAUUCAAUAUCGGUUCUAUAACAUGCGAAAUACAUGCAGUUAACAAAUAUUACAAAAUGGGUUUAGGGUCUCAUUGGUGGUGCGUGCAACAUGUCUUGUGCGGAAGAACUUUCACAAUCUUUGAAACCAUGCAGUUAAAUGAUCCUUAAAAGAACAAAUAAAAUGACAAUUGAUACAACUAAUAAAACUAAUACCAAGUCCUUAAUGGACUUCAGCAUGUUCAGCACUCUAGCAUCAUACGUGUCAUCUUGAUGUUCUGCUUCAGCGGAGGUUACAUCAACCCAUUCGAAUCCAUUGCAACUGGUGGCUCCCUAAUUGCAGGCAUCAUAUAUGGAAUAUAAUUCUGUUAGAGUUAGACAUGGGUUUAUUUUGACCCACAUACAUAUUAUUGAAAUUAAAACUUACAUAGGAGGUUAGACACUUCCAGAAUGGCUUCCCUCGAUUUUUGUCAGAUUUUGAAACCCGAAGCACCAUUGUAGCUCCACAAUACUGACACCUCUUUGUUUGAGCAGGAGAUGAAGACGAAGACAUGUUGAAUCUUCUCAGUUGUACCUCUUCUCACUCAGAUCUUCUCACUGAAACCUCUUCGGACUCAUACCUUCUCACUCAUCGUUGUCAUUCAUACCCCUUCACUCAUAACCCUAAACUUGUCACUCAGCUCUCUCUCAUCUCUGCCCAAAUCGAGUUAUAUUUCUUUUUUUUGGGAUCAUUUGGUGGGUUGGUCACGAUCUCGACACCCGUACCGUCGGCAUUGCGACAUCUUUUAGCCCGAAAAGCAAUAUAAACUACUUCACUACCAAAUAUAUUUUCUGAAAAAUGAGGGGACACUGCUUCAAAUUUAUUAUUUUAUAUAUAUUUCAUUAAGGCAACUAGUUGGAUAAGAAUCCGUCAUUAUUGGUUCCAUUUGAAUAACAUUACUAGGGGUAGUUGGGUGUGGGAAAAUGAAAAAGUAUAUGAUGGGACCUUCUGUCACUACUCAGUAAUCCAUCACAUUUGUAUCAAUGAAUUUGAUAGUGGGAUAAUCCCACAAAUGGCUAUGCAAAUAGCCAUUUAAUGAACUUUUUGACUGUCUGACUCUGUAUGCACCGUUAUGACGUUUUCCCUUCUUUUGUCUUCAGUUUUAAUUCACUUGGGUUCAGUUUCUUUAAAAAUGGUCAACUUGGAAAAACCCCAACUGGAAACACCUUUUCAAAACACUAUAAACAGAGGCUAAAACAAAACGUGUACCCCAAAUAUUCUCAUUUAUCCCCUCUGCCACUCCUCAAAUCGUUCCAUUCCAAAAACUUUUCAAUGAAUUCGAAACACUUCACUACAGUCGGAGGAAAGAGAAGGAAGCAUCUCCAUUUCGAUAUGCCCGAAGCCUUCAUCCCGGAGUCCGCUUGGUUUCAAGUGAUGUUAUACGUGGCAACCGAAUCAUCGGAAGAUCUCUUCCGUAUGGCAUCUGUGUGCCCAUUGUUCCAAACUUUGGCAAACAGUCCACAAGUGUGGAACACCAUUUCAAUGGCAAAGUACCCACACCAUCCUAGCUGGUACCGUGCCAGACCUGCGGUCCAGCAUUUCUUGCAACAAUGCAGGGCUUGCGAUAACCCUGAGUCGAUAUUUAGAGAAGCAUUCGAUAUUUUUUUCAGGGCCAGUAAGGUGGAAGCGUUGUAUGGGAUGCGCAUUGCAGCCACGGCAGGCCAUAUGGAAGCGGCAUAUGUAGUUGGACUACUUGGUAUAUCCGGAAUUGGUCAGUCAAAAGAGGAUGCAUUACAAUUCUUGUGUUCUUUGAAUCAACGUAACAACAUUGAUAUGAAAGGAACCAGGGAUGCUUUGACACGAAGAUUAACCGGACCAAGAGUUGCAAGACAUAUCGUAGAUAUAUUUGACUAUGGGAAGAUUAAGUUCAAUCGCUGCAGCACUUGUAACAACAAUGAAUGGUAUUUUGUUAUUCAAGGCUGGCCUAGUGAAGACAAGAUAAAUCCUGCCUUCUAGACUUGUUGCAAUCGAUGCAAAUGGCACCGUGAGAGUAUUUUUUGGUUCAAACUGAUGCGUGAGUAUGUUGUGCGAGGGAAUCAUGUAUUUUUGCAUUAGUUUUAGUACGAAUUUACGGUUUUGAUGCAUUGUGGACUUACUUCUCUUCACUUCUAGGUUGGCUGGCUACGUUGUACAAAUGUUGUUUAAAUGUUGUUUAAAUGUUGGUAUUUUGUCAUAAACCGUUUUAUAUAUAAAUGUAUAAUAUUUAUUAUAUAGCGGAAUUAUUACUUACAUCAUAGACGGCUACGAAUGACAUUUUACUGACACAGAUAUUUUGCUCACCCACCCCAAUAUUCAUAUUUGGUAAACGAAAAGUCAUGCAUGGAGUAAAUAGGUGUCUUUUCACCAAUGCUUGGGAAUGACAUUUUCCCACUUAGCAUAUUCGACAGGAUUUGGUUACACGUUUCUUAAGCAAAAGUUGAACAGUGAAUGACGUUGAAUAAUUUGUUUGUGUGGAAGGAGUACAAUGGAUGACUUGUAUAUUUCCAUAUUAUGUUUGAAAACAUCCCUUCAACCUAAAAAAUAAAAAAAUUAACAAAUUGAAGAACAGAGAAACCGAUGAGCACUACAAAUGGCCUAUUCGCACGGAAAAUAAAAUUGUUUUAAACAAGUUGGACUAAAUAUAAUUAACAAAUGGACAGCCUAAAAAGUAAUAUCAUAAUAAUUAUAAUAAUUGUGGAUUAAUAAUAAUAAAAUACUAAUGUAGCAUAACCAUGAAACAGGGAAUUCAGUAGGAAGAUGAAAUCUCAAUAAGUUCGUUGAAAUGUUCGGAUCGUUUUUCUAAUUUUUGUGUAUUUAGUUCUGAAUUUUCCAAGAAAAAAAGUAAUUAAAUAAUAAUUUAGGGUAAAAUGGGAUGAUGUGGCCAUGUUGACUGACGUACACUUGUGCAAGUACUCAUAAGUGAGGGGCUGAGAUCGCGCCAGGUGUCUUCUUGGAAUUAGGGUUGGCUAUUUUAGUGGAAAAAUCCUUGAAAAUAGGUAAAAAAUAGUAGGAAAUUCCUAUUCUAGGUUGGGAAAAUUACCCGCGCCUCCUUGUGACGUCAUAAAACUAGGAGAACCUAUAAAUCAUCCGUCUCGCAAUGAAAUAAUCCAAAAUGUUUUACAUAACUCACUUCCCUCUUUACCCUAAGUAUUGAUGUUUGUUAACUUGAACUUCAAUAACCUACUUCAACAAGCAUCUCCCGUUAAUGUUGGGAAUAAUUGUCUAAAAUGCGUAACAAUGAAUCGGAGAAUUCAGCAAGGGAGAUGGAGUGUCAAUGAGUUCGUAGCAAUUUUCGGAAAUAAUUUUGAAUUUUUGUGUAUUUAGUUAUGAAUUUUGUAAGACAAAGUAAUAAAAUAAUAAUUUAGGGUAAAAUGGGAGGAUGUGGCCAUGUUGACUGACGUACACUUGUGCAAGUAGUCAAAAGUGCCGGGCUGAGAUCGCGCCAGGUGUCAUCUUCUUUUCAAUUUUGGAUUCUUUUGUUAAAAAAUCUUUGAAACUAAGUAAUAAAUAGUAGGAAAAUCCUAAAAAUGCCCCCAAAAUUACUCCGGCCUACUUGUGACGUCAUAAAACUAGGAGAACCUAUAAAUCAUUCGUCUCGCAAUGAAAUAAUCCAAAUUGUUUUACAUAACUCACUUUCCUCUUAACCCUAAGUAUUGAUGUUUGUUAACUUAAACUUGAAUAACCUACUUCAACAAGCAUCUCCCGUUGAUGUUCGGAAUUAUUUUUAAAAAUGCGUAACAAUGAAUCGGAGAAUUCAGCAAGGGAGAUGGAGUGUGAAUGAGUUCGUAGCAAUUUUCGGAUAAUUUUUUUAAUUUUUGUGUAAUUAGUUCUGAUUUUUGUAAGGAAAAGUAAUAAAAUAAUAAUUUAGGGUAAAAAGGGAGGAUGUGGCCAUAUUGACUGACGUACACUUGUGCAAGUAGUCAUAAGUGACGGGCUGAGAUCGCGCCAGGUGUCCUCUUGCUAUUAUUUUGGCUUUUUUAGUGCAACAAUCUGUGGACAUAGGUAAUAAAUUCUACGAAAAUCCAAAAAAUGCCCGGAAAAUGAGAAAAUGAAAAUUAUUUGUACAUAACUCACUUUCCUCUUAACCCUAAUUCACGUGUAACACGUAUAUUUCGGAUAAUAUUCGAUAUAUAAUUUGUAAUAAUACAAUAUUUAGUUUCACUAUAUACAAUAAUAUGUUUUGUUAUAAUAAUGUACAUAAAUAAUAAUUGCACAUGCUUUGAAGCCAUCAUUGCAACUACGCCUAGAGCUUUCAAGACGUCAGUUCGUAUUCAAUAAGUUGUCCACAUGCAAGUGCACCUACAGUUUUCAACACGUCAGAGGUAUUCAAUAAGUUGUCCACAUGCAACUGCACCUAGAGUUAUUAACACGUCAGAGGUAUUCAAUAAGUUGUCCAUAUGACGCCGCAUUGGGAAUCAGUAAUAUAUUUUCAAUCAUGUCCAAUCACAUAAAAUAAUGGCAUACUUUUUCUCAAUAACCUCACACAAGUGAAGCAAUUUUAAAACCCUUACUGAAUAUUUGUCCUAGUCUAUAUGAGUGAUUAUAUAAUCAGUCUGCAUUUUUUUCACAGUAUAUGUUAACUUUGAGAGGGAUUCCACAAACAUAAAAUAUAAAGAAAGCAAGAAAUAGUAGGAGAUGAACCAGUAGAAAAAACAAUAUAUAAAUGGUACAUAAUAAUUCCAUAACCUUGUCACAAACGCACUCACAAAAGCUUUUCCAUAAACCUUGUCCUAACAUAUAAUAAAUAAAGGCAACAUUGCAUAUGAUGCAACCAUGUCCAAAUCUGAUACGUGAUCAAAAACAAAUGGACAUGGCAGCAACAUAUGACUGAAGUAGAUGGGCUCUUUGCAUCUUGUGUUUUCGUAAUUAAAGACAUCAAAAUAUUAAGGUUUAAAUCUUCCAUAGUAGUUAGCAUCAAAAUAGCUUUGAAGCAGAGUGUAAAGAAAAUUCCAAUUCCACUGAUUUGCCUCUGCUCAAACACGAGAACCAAAAUGGUUACUUCCCUUGCUGAGUAUAUUUGGUGACGUCGGAAACGGUAAUAGAUGAUCAAUCAAACCCAGGUACGACGAGUUUUGCAUAGGAUCGGAAGUAGUCGAAUCCAGCUUGCAUCACACGCUUCUUUGACUCCACUGCAUUAGAUGAGUUCUUGUAUUUUUGAACAGCUACACUCCGAAGUCGUUUGUGUCUACGCUUCAUGCGCUGCAACUUCACCCUAUCCAGAUUGGCCUGCCUUUUGUCAUCUUCAAUUUGGCCUUCAACAAAUUCCAAACGUGCCCUUGCCCUUUGGAUUUCAUCACCAAGUUGAAGAUGCCUCUCCUUCCAAAAAGCAACAACUCUUUCAGACUCAAAACUUCCAACAAAAUGGUCAUUCUGUCUAGGAAUGUGACAUUGCUUGUCUGGUGACUCACUUGCGUGUCGAAGGCGGUCUUUGUUUGGAGGGGUGUUUAUUAUGCUCACAUCAAACUUGGUUAGUAAAUCCAUUCUUUGGGGGGAAUGAGUUUGUUUGCUUGAGAGAGUAUCAGUAGAUGGAGACAGAUUCGGUGGAGGAGUGAGUUUUGUGUGGAAGGAGAAUUUAUAUGAAAGGGGUGAUAGUAAUACCAAGAAAAGGGUUCCCGCCAAAAAAUAUUUGGUUGAGAAUGUAUAAAUUAAUUUUUGGUCUGAUACAAUCUAAGUUGAAUCCUAACUAGUUUGGUUGAGUUAACUAAGUAGAUGUCACUUCCAUUGAGUUUCUUUCAACCACUAUCAGUGGUGUCAGGAGAGUGUGAGGUUGACAUGCUUGAAAAGCAAAACCUGACACCUAUUUUUAAAAAAUUCCAUAAAAAAAGUACAUAUGUUGACUACACACAAGCUUUGGUAUGUUGGUCUAUAAACCUAUGUUCCCUUUCUCAAACGAAAUUGCAUAUGCAAUCCUCAUCCUCCCAAAACAAAGAGGAUUAUUCAAGCAUGUCAACCUCUUCAGGCGCCAACAACACAAUCGAAGAUGACAAAUUGGAGUCGCAGGUUCUAUUUCCACAUUGUACUCGCCGACCCCUUCCUUUUUCAACAUCAUUUGGGAGUGAGGGGGACUCCGAUGAUCCAUUAGAGGCAAUACAUGCAGUCAGUGGCAAGCUGGAUUAUAAUUCCAGACUGAUCAAUUCAUGGCACGAGAAAUGUGUUGAAGACGAGGCAAUUUUGGCUGAUCUUAACAUUAGAGUGAACAAAGCGUUCUCCCAAAAGAACAAGUACUUGAAGCUGAGUCAUAGCAGGAAGCUGAAAGCUGAGGAGUUGGAUACAGUAAUGAAUGAUGAAAUGAAAGGUUGUUUGCUGAACCACAUGCGAUGCGAAGAGCACCAUAGUGAACUGGAGUUGGCAUUCAACGAAGGAUUCGACAAAUUUCGAGCAUUUGCGGCAACUACUCAUACAAGUUAUGAUUGGAACUAUGUGUCCCCUGAUGCUGUGAGAGAGAUACUAGACGAUGGGGGUGACAUGAAUGAGCAUAAGCACGUCAAAGCUGCUCGGAAGAAGCCGACCGAUACGACUAAGUGAUUGCGGCUACCGCUGUUCAGUUGGUUGAGGGUGACCGUGGUAUUGCACAUAUACUCCCUUAAUGUCAUUAUCUAAUUUCAAAUAACACAAAUAUCAGUUUCAUUUGCUUCAUAUAUAAUUAUUGGGACUAUGUAUUGCAAGUCAUCAUGUGUUAUAAUGUCUAACAUUAUAUUUUGCAAAUAUGGAAAUAUUAUUCAAUAAGCAGUCAAUAUCACAGCAAGCCGGGAAUCAGUAAAUGCUCCUUAUCAUGUCCAUUUACAUUAAAGAGCUGGCGUACUAAUGUGUUCAAAAAAAACUGAGACGUGAGUCAUAAGUAACAUAACAUGUGCUAUACAUUGUUUACUGAAUGGUUUAUGGUUUAUUUUUAUAUAAUAAAAUUCCAAAUAUUGCUGAAGAUUUAUUUCGUCUAUAUGACUAGGGAUAUGAGUGGCCAUAAGCAUGUGAGACCUGCUAAGAAGAAGCUGACGAGUACGACCGAGUGAUUGUGGCUACCGUUGUUCAGUUGGUUGGGGAGAUCGUGGUAUUGCUAAGAGGGAGCACAUAAUAUGUUUUGCAAUCAAAUGUUCUUUUGUGUGUGGAAUUAUGAGUAUUUAUGUAAGUUAGUGUACCCUUUAAUAUUUUUCACCUAAGUAUCGAAAUGUAAUUAGCUGCAAUGUUAUGUUUCAUUUUUACACGCUGCUUUCUAUUUGCUCUGUUCCAACAAAGUGCUUCAAGUAUCCUUCAGUUACAAAAGUGUACAAAAUCGUGCCCCUAAUAACCAGUCGUCAAAAGUGGCUACUGCUGGAAAUGAUUACUGGUAAUGGAAACAACAGCUGGCUGCUGGAAAUGCUGCAUUAGCCUGAGGAUUUGAAAAAUGAAUCUCUGUUAAAACAUAAUUCACCCUAAACUGCCCAUUUUACAUGGUAAAGGUCAUUGCUUCUUCACAUAACUACAAAUUUCAUACUUGAUCAAAUGUCUAUGAAAAUUUAUAAAUAGGGAGAAGACGUAAAAUUAACAUGUCUCCAAAUUUCAUGGAAGAAUGAAACCAAGGAAAUUUUCAUUUCAAUUACCAGUGGACAUAGUAAGAGCUCAUCGGUGGACAUGAACAAAAACACAAUAAUAUUCAAAAACUGAAUCUAUAAAACUUCACCUGAUCAUUAAUCUUCAUAACAACCACAUUUCGUCUAAUACAAAUAUAAAUCAUUUAGUUGGUCCGUGCAUCCUGUCAAAAUCGUCGAAUAAUGGGUCACUACGAUGUAUUGGAGUUGAUUCGUCAUUGUUCGACGGUGAUGUCCUGCAUAAACAUCAAACACAAGCACAUAAAAAUUUUACCUUUUCAUAUUUUAGAUGUUAUUACAACUAGUGUUAGCAUCUUACGGUGUGUUCAAGGCUGGGCAUUGUCUUCUAUCAUGACCAAUGUGUCCACACUCCCGACAGUGUCUAAUCCCUCGCUUCAUUGCCUUUUCCUUUGCUCCCGUUACUCCUUUCGACCUUCCUUUGCACCUCACUCUCUUAGGGUCUUUCAUAUAUUGUGUUUGAGAGCUGGACCCUCCAACUUCGUUAUUACUUAGUCCAUCCUUCAGCAACUUUAACUUCACCUGCAAACUUUUUAGAGUCUCUGACAGUAGCUCACAUCCUUCUUCACUCAUUAAUGCAUCCUCAACCACAUCUGAAGCAAGUCGAGACAUUGUACUCCGCUUUAUUAGAAGGCCAGGAUCUGCACAGUCUUUAAUUUCGUUGCCAUUUGCAUCUGACACCAUUCCAGAUUUCGCAGUUUUCUUCCACCUCUUCAAAAUAUAUUUAUCGGGCAUAUAUUCAAUCUGGUCCCUUCUGAACAAUGCUAGGAUGUGCUUGCAAAUAAUUCCAACAAAUUCAAAUCUUUUGCAGCUACACGAUGCGUGGUCAGAAUCUUUGACAUAUACGACUUCUGCCACUCUUGUUUCCCAAUUUUUCCUUUCGCUCACGUUAAAGACAACUUUACAAGCAUCCUCUGUUUUGAGCUCUAGGAAACAUGCUGUACUUUGUAUUAGUUCUUGCUCAAACUUUUGAAACAUUGUCCUUGUGUACAAGGUAGCCAUUUGUUUGUUCAUUGGCAUCGGUAGAAGACAUUGAGCCACUUCAAAUGCAUCUACGUGAUCAGCAACUAACUCUUUUUCACGUUGAUGAGAAAGUGCCCUCUCAAAUCGUAUUAUGAAAUCCAUCAACGAAUUUCUCCUUGAUAUGUAUUGCUUGAAAAAACCAUGAGAACCUUCCGCUCUUUGGCUGCUUGACAUUCCAGCGGCAAAAAAUUGUCGUGCGUAGGCUGGAACCCAAGAUUCCCUUAAAUCAAACAUUGAACUUAGCCAUGGAUGGUCGGUCAAACCAGCCUUUGUAACCACAAUAUUCCAUUUUGCAUCAAACUCAUCCUUAUUGUCAGUAUCCCAUAUGGCUUUCUGAAAUUCACGCCAAUACUCCUUAUAAGCGUCACGUGGUAACUUAACAGAGAACUUUGAUGUGAUGUGCCAUAUGCAAAGUCGAUGAAAUGUACUCGGGAAGGCUAUUGAAAUCGCUAUGGCCAUUGCCGCAUCUUGAUCUGUAAUGAUCGUUUUAGGUUCCCCACCUGGCAUGGCUUUCUUAAACUCCUCAAACAUCCAAACAAACGACUCAGUCGUUUCCUUGCUCAAAAAUGCACAUGCUAAGACAAUUGUUUGACCAUGGUUAUUAACUCCCAACAUUGGUGCAAAUGUCAAGUCGUAUCGAUUCGUGUUGAAUGUGGUAUCGAAUACAACAACAUCUCCAUAAAACCCAUACGCCCGUCUAGAAGUUGCAUCUGCCCAAAAACAUCGACUAAACCUGUCAUGCCCAUCUCCCUCAAUCUUGAAAUAAAAAGCCUCAUUUUUUUUCUGUUCAGCCAUAAAAUACUCGGUCACUAGUUCAACAUCGUGGUUCCUCAGCUUCCCAUUCACACUACAUUCAAGAUUGUAGAUAUCUUUUUUGAUAAAACCGAUUUUAUCCAUUCCUCCGGAUUGCACCUUGAAAAUACUUACCUUAUGAUGAAUGGGAAUAUUAACUGAACCCAACUGUUUUGUGAGUACUUUGUAGAAUCUGAAAUAUGACGGUGUGAUCUCAAUAAAUGCAUUCUUUCUGAGGGUGUCAUCUUAUGAUUGUGUCCCUCUGCAAAAAGAGAUAUGGUAUACUUCUUGCUCCCAUUUGUCUUCACAACCACAAUCUUAGCUUUGCAAUUGCAUCUACUUAUUCCCCGUUGUCUUUUUCUCUCCCGAGUUUCAUCCUUCCUGUAUGCACCUUGUUUGCAACAUACAAAUUCUUUCCUCAAAAUCUCUUUCUUAUUUUUCCCCCAAAAGCUAGAAUGAAGUCGAAUACCAAAGCCAGCAAAGAAUGCAUAUCUAUUAUAGAAAUUGUAAACGAGGUCAAGCGAGUCAAACUUCAUCCCAACUGCUGGUGUUUCCUCAUUUCUUACUUCAGGAAUAUAAACCCUCCCAUUAGCUGUUGCACAUUCAUCACUCUCUGAGCCCCCAGACAUUUUAUCUACGUAUAUUAUUGAUCCACUUCUAUAUUACUGCAUAGCAAUUAUUCAUUCAUUAAUCAGUCAUUACUGCAUCACAACAUAUCAAUGCAUUCCACUUACACAAAACAUUGCCCAAAUUGACACAAAAUACGCAUAGCCUAACUUCCGAUUACACAAAACGCAAGCAAAAUUUCAUAAAAGUUACGUCAUCUCUUGUGAAAUAAUCUGGUCAAAAUAACAUUAGAACCAACAUGUUCAACUAAGAACACAAAUGUAAUUCAAACCACCAAUUACAGAACUUCACCCAAUAUCCUCUCCAACUGCUUACUCCUAAUGUCAUUAAGCCUAAGUUUAGGUUCUUUUACCUACAUUUCAUAAUUUUCCACCCCGACCAACAACAAUGAACUAAGAAUAUUGAAUAUUCAUAAGGAAAUGACACAUUAUUGAUGCCACAAAUGACGAAUUUCCCACCCUCACAAAAGAUAAACCUAACCCAAUAAAAUCAAUCCAGCAAGUGAACUUACCUCUCAAAAUCAAUCGGGAGCUCUGAAGUCAGUCAGCUUGAAAGAAUGUGGUGGACAUUACAGAAGACUCUUUGGUAUUUGAGACUCCAUCUCUACCAAAAUCGAGGAACAACUGCUGCUGCGGCUUCUAGCUACAAAAACAGAUAUGCUACUUUGCUUUCAUCUGGAAUCUUGUCAGCUGAAUGAAAAAGAGAAGGGGUUUUCACUUGAGCCAUAGAAUCAAAACAGGGCAACAGCUAGGUAAGAGCCAUUCUUCGUAAUACCCAGGAUACCAUAGAUCGCAGGCCUCCCAACGAGCUAAUGACAGUCGAGUGACUAUAAGGUUUGGGAGAUUUGGAUCCUUCUAAUUGUGGGUUUGCUUUACAUUCAAAAAGAAAGGAUUGUGUUCUUCAGUUUUUCACAGAGAGGGAAAGAGGGGAACAACUGAAGUUGGGUUUCUAACGGGUUAGAUUUCAACCCGAUUCUACAUGCACCCUCUUUUAAAAACUCACCGUUGGAUGAAAUCCAACGGCUCUUACAUGCCCCUCAAAAACACCCCUUAUAACUUCCCACUCACUAUAGAAGCUCCCCUGUUUGUGUUGUUGAAUUGGGUCUUUUAGUUGUUUUUGUAAACUCUGAUUUAAGUCUAGUUUGGUAUUGCUGUACUUUUAAAAAAAACUACUUCCGCUGUGCUGCUAGAAUACUCAGCUGUAAAAAAAAUUAGUUAUGCUUUUGGUAAACUAUAUUUGAAAAAGUGCUGUGAGUAAUCCAAAUGUUUGGUAAAUGACCAAAAAAAAGUGCUUUUAAUACGUACAAUGACUAAAAAGGACAUGAUGAUGGAACUAUUUGAUUUUUUCUUCAUUCUUUUUCUACUUAAAAAAAACUUCACUACAUAAUUUUUUUUUCUUUUUUUAUUUAUACUAUACACGUGUUCCUCUCUUCUCAAAAAAGUAAAUGCCUUUUGUUAUGUAUUGAAUGCUAACCCAACGACACCAAUUGGAAACCCAACACAGCCCAUCUCUCCACUUCAAUUUUUCUCUUUCUACCAUUUACAAGUUUUUUUUCUUCAUUCCUUCGUCUAACCAAAAAUAUCUCAUGUUUCCCCCAAUUAGUUUUAGUACUUUUGGGUAGGUGAGACUGAAAAGGGGAAAAAUUGUAUGUUGGGUUUAUGUUUUGGUGUUCUUGCAAUGGGAGAUAACAUAGUGGAGAAAGUAGCCAUGGUGAAAAUACAGAUUUCUGGGUUGCAGCCAUGGAGAUUUGAGCUGAUUUACAGUGCUGUAGUGGGGGUAGUUGAAGCCCCCCCAAAGUUGGGACUACUGCAACAGGAUCUUUCCACCCAAAACCAAAAACAAGAACAACAAACUCAGGUGGAACAUGAAACUCAUCACUCUCUCUCUUCCUUCGACUCGGGUUUUCUCUCUUCUUCCUCAAACCUGCGACAAAUAGAAAAACCCCCAAUUUAACAGAGAAAACUCUAGAUGCAGAAAGUUUGAGAAGUAGAAAACCAAAAAACCAUAAUUGUAAUUAAGUUAUUGAUGAAUGGGCAACCUUCUUAGCAAUUAAUUUUUUGAUGUCCACAAUGAGAGUUCCAGCAGCGUCAGAGAGUAGAGAAGGAAAUGAAGGAAAUAGAGUUCACAGAAUGGAGAAGAAAAAAGGGGCAAAAGACCGUCAAUUUGUAAAAUAAGUGAGGGUAUUACGGGAAAGUUAAAAGUUCAUUAAAACAACCGGUUAAAUUUUUUUUGAAGCAGCUUUUAAAAGCUUGGUAGAGACGGCUUCGAAAAAACAGCGAUCAUUGACUGCGAUUUUAAAAAAAAGCAGGAUUCCUGAUGUUUUCCAAACACCCAACUCAUGAAAUUUUUUUAUUAAAGCUGCUUUUUAAGAAAAUUAAACGCUGCCAAACACCACCUUAACCAUUUUCUUUGCGUGUGCCAAAUUUAUAAUUUUGACCAGUGUCAUGCAGGAAAAUGUUUCAUGCUUUGUUAACAGGGGGCUUUCGAUGAGUAUUUUAUUUAGAUGAAAAGUGAUUCAUUCCUUUCCUUUAUGGAUUCAUCUUGUUAGGUUGAUCUAUUGAAGAAUGAGCUUGGAUUUGAUGAGGCUUUUAACUAUAAAGAAGAGGCUGACUUGAAUGCGGCUUUCAAAAGGUGCAUAUGAGUAAUGAUAGAGAGAUUACAUUUAUAAACCCUAGCGGACCAUGAAUAUAAUGAGUCUUAAAUCUAUUAGACAAUUGGUUAGUUGACAGGUGGUAUACAAAGCAGUCUACAAAUGUGAUCUCCCUAUCAUUUUCCGUAAAAUACAUAUUUAUUAUGUUAUACUAGUUUCCUUUAGUAAGAAAAGAAAGGAAAAAAACUAUUAUUAAGAAUUUGUGUGUUGUUAGGGUUCAUCAUUGGGCUGGGCCAACUCAAAAAUUUUGGGUUCGAGCCGAGCCCUCAUGGGCCGAAAUGGGCCAGACUUUUUGUUAAAAAGUCUUUUCAAUCUUUUUGUUACACAUUUCGUUUUUUCAAAAGUGAUGGAUAUAGAGUAUUCUCUUAAACAAUAGUAUAGAUUACUACAUAAUUUAAGAAAACAAAAAUAUAAUAGCCAAACUUUUUUACUAAACCUAGACCAAUAACCAAUAUAUUUAAAAAAUAUUAUACCUAAAAAUGAAUCUUAUGAUGUGCAAUUUGUGCCUUAAUUAACUUAUAUCCCAAAUUAGGAUUGACAUCAUGAAAAUUAAAGCAAUUUGUGCCUUUAAAAUUAAUAAACCCAGAAUAAGCUUUCAAAUUCUUUAUUGAACCGUUAAAUUUGAACUUGACAAAAAAGGGGCACUAAGAGAUAUAGUGCAUAUAUUGCUUGUUUGUUACAAAAUUUUAGACAACAUUGAAAAAAUUAACUUAAUUUAUAACAUGUGUAAACAAAAUAAAAAGUUUAUUAGUUUAUCAUACAUAUUACAUUAUUUUGAUUAAGUAUAAAAUGAGGUUAGGGAAUGCAUCAAUUAAUCUUAAAAAAAUGAAAAGCAUAAGCGGGCGGGCCGAGCGGGCCUAACCAUCUUGCUAGGCUGGACUUUGACCCAUCAAGCCUCGGACUACCCACUUCGGAGCCGCGGGCCAAAUGAUGAUCCCUAUAUGUUGUAUAUGAUGCUUUGAAGCUUGAGCUUUCUUGAGUGAAGGAUAAAUUUUCUUUGUAAUUACCAUACACUUGCCAGGUAUUUCCCUGAAGGCAUUGAUAUUUACUUUGAGAAUGUUGGAGGCAAAACGCUAGACGCAGUGCUCCUCAACAUGAGAGUCCAUGGCCGCAUUGCUGUAUGUGGAAUGAUCUCACAGUACAAUCUUGAUCAAGCAGAAGGGGUAACAAAUUUGAUGCACCUUGUGUAAAAACGUAUCCGCCUCCAUGGAUUUUCGGUAAGAGAUCACUAUCACAUCCAUCCGAAAUUCGUGGAGUUUAUGCUGCCUUACAUUAGGCAAGGAAAGAUUGUUUAUGUGGAAGACAUAGUUGAAGGCCUUGAGAGUGGUCCAAGAGCGCUGGUUGGACUUUUUAAGGGUCUUAACUUUGGAAAACAAGUAGUUGACGUCUCUGCAUGAAUAAGUUGUUUUGUCAAUCGAUUUGGUGUGCUUGUGUUUCUAACCACUAUAACUUUGUUAAGUGGCUCUUUGGUUUUAUUUUUAUGUUUUUGGAUCCUUUUUGGGAUUGCAUAUGUUAAGUGGUGCACUUUGUCAUACAGAAGAUAUUCAUCAAUAAUAAGGGCUAAUUCAGGAUUGUUGUCACUUUUAAAAAAAGAUGCUUCUGUUGUGUUUUGGAAAUAAUAAGCUGUAAAGUAGUUCCAUGCGUGUUAAACAAUAUUUUUAAAGUGUUGUUAGUAUAAAAAGUUAUGUCAAAACCGUUUGGUAAAUUUUGAUAUAAAACUAGUAACUGUUGAUAAUGACUAAAACAUACAUGAUAUGUCGAAAGUGUUACGUGGUAACCAUAUGGUGGUGGUGGCGGUGGUGGUAUAGGUGGAGGUUGAGUUGGUGGUGGUGGUGGAGGUGGAGGUGGUGGUGAGGCGUGCUACGGGCACCAACUUAAAUACUAAUUUAAUGAUACCAACCUAUGUGGCAUAUGACAUGACAAUUUAUGUCAUAUGCCACAUCAUUUUUUUUAUUAGUUAAGUUUUAACAAUUUUUUGUCAGAAUUAACUUAAUUAUUUAGUUUUAAAUAAAUAAAUUCUGCUCCACGCCUCCCUUCCUUCUCGGAUCUACUACCAUGGCCUCCUUCCUCCCCAACUUGUAUGCCCUUAUUAUUACGCACAUUGAAUUUGGCUUUCGGGGUGUGACAUAUUUUUACCAAUCCCAUGAAGCUUUUCUUAUCUUUGAAUGCUUGAGUGCUAACCAUUGUGUGUUUCCCUUGCUUUAGGAAGAUUGCCUCACUCAGCAAGAAUGCAUGGUGAGGUGUUUGUGAAUGGUGCAAAAUCGGUACAUGUACAUGGCCACGACACCGAUAUAUAAAUGAGAAGAGAAUUCCUUGGUCAGUAUCAAUAUUGCGAAACUGUUGCAGCAUUGAAGGGUUGUGUGAACUCCUCGAUUUCAAGCGAAGUCGAAUAUUGCUUGAUGUGGAAGAUGGCUCAAACUAAUAAAAAUGAGGAAAACGGAUCAUACCAACAAAAAUAUGGCAGAUGGCCAGAAUCAAUAUAACCGUGGUCAGAUUUGGGAAGUGAGGCCAUGGCAGAUUCGGAGAGGGAGGGAGGCCAUGGCAGAUCUAUAAAGGAAUGGAGAAACAGAUCACACCUCUUCCCUUCUCCUCAUACCACAACUCAUCAUACACACCCAAUCGAUUUUGAAAUAUUACAUAAAAGUUGUGAUGGCGCUGGAACUGCAGAUUCAGAACGUUUUUUAUAUGCUUCCCACAAGCAGUCAGACAAACCCUUAGAGGACGAGUGACAUCAUUACCUUCUCAACUUACCAAAGAAAGAACUCCUUCCGAAGUGGUAACCACUUGCCGAUGCUCCCAACUACAGAACCAAGUUUCCAUGGACACGUGUCACCUCCACAAUAGUUUGCACAAAGUCCGACAUUGAAACUUUGUGCAAAACUCCCAUUUUCAGGGAACAGUACCUAAGGAAAAGGGGUAACUACUUUUCACAUUUACUGUUACUCUGCCAAAAUUACCACAUAUACUCGCUGACUUAAGUAUUGGAGAGUCUUCGGCAGGUACCACACCAGUGUCCGAAGCUUGACGAUCCCUUCUUCCUUGUUUUCUUAUGCAAGAUCCCUCCAUACCGAAGGUCCACAACCUUCUCCCUUGCUGAAGAUUUAACACUCCUUUAUCUAAGUUAACCCUCCGAAAAAGAGCAUCAACACGCGCAGCACUCAUUAUCUUUCAACAAUCUGAUUAUCUUAUACUAGUUAAUUUAUGGGUUGUUUGAUAACAAUUUCAAUUUUAAUUUUUAGUUUUCAUUUUCAUUUUUUUUGAAAACUGAAAACAUGUUUGGUAUUAGAUUUCGUUUUCAAAUUAAAAAAAAAGUGAAAUCUAGUUUUCAAAAUCACCUUUUUUUUAAAAAACAACUUGGAAGUGUUUUAUGUUUUUUUUUUAUGUUUUUUUUUUUUUUUUUUUUUUUUUUGUGCACUAUUGUUUGUUGGAGUGUUAGUUGACUUUCUUUGCACACCAAGGUUUCCCAUAUUAACUCAUGCAUAGAUUGGAAUUGAUUUCCUACUCUAAAUAGUAUUAGAAGUUAUUAAUUACCUUACUUAGCCUUCAAGGAAUAUUGUAUUAUAAAUAUGGCCUUCUACAAGGAGAAGAAUACACAGAAAAUUCUCACCACAAUUACUCUUUCGUAAUUUUAGCAUUAUUUCAUUCAUAAGUUUCACAUCACCACACAUGAAAUGCACUCCGGUUACCAAAAGUCGGUAUUUGGGACCUCCCAACUUGGACUUGGUCGCUCAAUUCGUGCUUUUGGCCACAAUCCCAAUCCAAACCUCGUCAACUCCAUGUCCAAAGGUCACUAAAAAAUAAUCAUAAUUUUAAAAAAUUCACCAAAAAAUAUUACGAAUUUUUUGUCAUUCCUGCUUUAACUUUACCUUUUGUUUUCAAAUGUUGACCCGUCCCAACCCAACUCUCAAUGCUCGAAGGGUUCUUUCGUGUAGUUAAGAGUUGGGUUUUCCAAGGUAGGUCUAUAUUGAUUCGAACAACUUUGCGGUAUAUCUGUGGGUAAGAUACUGUUCUCAAAGUAGUAAAGGCUGAACUAAAAGGCUAAAUGGGAAAAUGAAUACUUUCUUUUCUCUUCCUCAAGAAACAUACAUCCUCACCACAAGAGAGGGAGAGUUGCUUGGUAUUUUGUUAAAUAAAAUAAAAUAAUUAAUAAUUGAAAAUAGAAAAUGUUUGAAAAGGAUAUUGGGAAUAAAGAGAGAAGAUGCGGGUGUGAGUAAAAUAACAAUAAAAGAAAAUUAAAUCAAAAAUAAAAAAAUAAAAAAAUAAUUAAGUUUUGGGGAGUAGAAAUCGGGAUGGAGGGGGGAGAGAGAGGUUUUUUUUUAAAAAUUUUUUAUUCGUAUUUUAAUCAAUUUUGAUAUUGUUGAGGCCCAAAAAAGUUACGGGAAGCCCAAAGACAUUUAAAGCCCAAUAUAACAUAUAUUCUCAGUCAUGCGUUAAUCCAAGCUGUAAUUCGGAUUUAAUUCAUUAAAUAAAUAUAAAAUAGUGUACAUGUCAUGCUAAACUAAUAAUACAUUUUCCCCAUGCUAAUCACCUAUCAAGCUCACAUGAACCCAAGUCAUGUGAUUUACGGGCUUGCAUGAGGGAUUGUGGUGUGGAAGGUUACGGAGGUCCACAAGGCCCACGGAAGCUCUUGGAUAACAGAGACUUUGGGCUAGCUACUUGAGAGCACCAAAGUCCAAGCCCAUUACUUAGAGUUCUCCAAUGUGGGUGAGCAAAUGAGACAUUUUUCAAGCACUGCCUUUUACCUAUAGGAAAUAGUCAUUUUCCAAAUACCAAGCUUUACCCGUUGGAAACAAGCAUUUUCCAGCACUUCCUAUUACCCAUUGGAAACAAGCAGUUUCCAGUGCUUCCUUUUACCAAUAGGAAAAAAUCUGUUUAUGAUACCUAGCUUUACCUAUUGGAAAAUAGCAUGUCCUAGUCCUCCCUUUUAACCAUUAGAAAUAGGUUGGUUCCAAUACCUCCCUUUACCUAUUGGAAAUAAAGGAAAACCCUCACCCUCUAUAAAUUGGCACUCAUGGCUCAAGCAAAAGGCACCAAUUUUUCUUCAGCCAAUACUUCCUCACUCGGCUACUGCAAGCAUCCCAGCAGCCACCAACCCCCAUAAAGCAUCACCUAGCUCCAAGCUUUUCCUUCCUUCCAAGCUUUAAACACCAUAGCCUUUAAACCUCAAGCUUUUCCUUCCAUCCUCCUUCUCUUGAAACUCUUAAAUCCCCAUAGCCAUAGCCACACACAACAAAUUAUCAACACCAAACUCAAACAUAUCCAACACCAAGCCAAGCACAUGCAUUCUCAUUUGCUAAACUUGUGGGUCUUUAGCUCCUACACUCCAAGCUCUCAUGCUAAGCUCACAUAAUCUCAUACCAACAUCAGCAAGUCAUCUUCAACUCUUCGUCGAGCUGCCGAAAACAUCAACACAAAACAUGCAGCCGUUGGAAGAAGAACAAAGUACUCUCCCGGGACUUGCUUUUCCCUUGGGACACUUUGGGCCUAGUUCUCGCUAACUCAGAUAAAGGAACAACGAAGUCUUCAUUCAUCACUCUAUGGCGACCCAAGAAUCAACAAAGCCCGGAUGAGCCUUCGAACGAAAGUGACCACAUGCAAAGCUCAAGCUUCAAUAGCCAAGCCCAAGCUUUUGGUUCCUAAAAACAUGCUUACGACAGCUGCAACAAACAAUACCUAAGUCACCAUAAGUGAUAUGCCCCAGCGUCUCAAGCACUUUCUAUGCCCUGACAAUUCUAAUGAUCAAGUUUUAGAGUCAAACCAAAAGGCCAUUGGGAUGUCUCAAUUGCCACAAUUCCAUAAUCAAUCAUCAUCAAGCCUCAAGCCUUAUUCAAGAAAUCCAAGCACUAUUCUUUACUCAAGAAGGAAAACAUCUCAGUUCGUGGCAAAUAGAAGGAAAAUACUACGAAGGUACCGGAAGAACCUAAACACUGUCAAGAUGAAGUUUCCUUUACCAAGCAAUCAAAAUUUUUGAAGUGAUGUCAAGCUAUCAAGAAAAAGAGUAAAGUCACUAUGCAACACAACAACCAAAAUAUGCUUGUAGUAACCAAGAUUCAAGCCAAGCAAAAUGUGGAAGAUAAUGAUGCGUUGUAUGAAAUGCUCCUGGAAGAUAACACAAGCCCUAUAGUCAUGCUGCCGGAAGAGUGAACCAUCAUGCCACUAAAUUUGAAAGAGGAGCCCCAUAUCUGAGUACUGGAAGGCAGCGCAGUGGACUCCAAAACUAAGAUCUAGUCCAAGUGACUUAAGGCCUCCAUAUUGCAAUGCUUAUUUGCCAACACCUAUACCGCUUUCAAGCUACUGCAGACACUAUCAUGCUCAAAUCCUUAAGCAUCUCCCAUUGUAUUUUCAUCUUCUAAUCUACCAAAGCCCUCAUGAUUGACCAAGCUAUAUCUUGAUUCAACUCCACCCACUUGCUCUUUACAGCAGCCCAGGCCCAUCUGUAGCUGCCGGAACAAAAAAGCCCCAACGUAAAUGACAAAACCGAAACACUAAAGCACAUCCACCAUGCUAAAUAGCCCAAAAGCUAUAUUAAACCACGACACUUUAGCCAAUACCAAGCGUACAAGCCAAUGCCCAGCAUCCAAGCAUACAAGCCAAAGCUUAGCGUACAAGCCAAUACUAAGCAUACAUGCCAAUGCCAAGCAUACACACCAAUGCCAAGCAUCCAAGCCAAUACCAAGCGUACAAGACAAAGCCAAGCAUACAAGUCAAUACCAAGCAUACAUGCCAAUGCUACGCGUAUACGCCAAUGCCAAGCAUCUAAGCCAAUACCAAGCAUACAAGCCAAAGCCAAGCGUACAAGCCAAUACCAAGCAUAUAUGAGCCCAAGAUCAAGCGUACAUGCCAAUGCCAAGCAUCCAAAUCAAAUACUAAGAAUACAUGUCAACAUCAAGCAUACAUGCCAACACCAAAUAUACACGUAAAAACCAAGGAAGCAAGCACGGAUGUUUCAUGCAUAUUGAAGAACCAGCCAUGUCAUGCCACUGCCAAUUAUUUUGGGCUGAAAUAGAUUAUUGGGCCCAUCUCACUGCCACUUCAUAGCCCCAAUAAUCAAGGGGGCUAAUGUUGAGGCCCAAAAAAGUUACGGGAAGCUCAAAGACAUUCAAAGCCUAAUAUAACCUAUAAUGUCACUCAUGCGUUAAUCCAAGCUGUAAUUUGGAUUUAAUUCAUUAAAUAAAUAUAGAAAUAGUGUACAUGCCAUACCAAAAUAAUAAUACAUUUUUUCCAUGCCAAUCACCUAUCAAGCUCACAUGAACCCAAGUCAUGUGGUUUAUGGGGCUUGCAAGAGGGAUUGUGGUGUGGAAGGUUACGGAGGUCCACAAGGUUCAUGGAAGCUCUUGAAUAAUGGAGACUUUGGGCUAGCUACUUGGGAGCACCAAAGUCCAAGCCCAUUACUUAGAGUUCUCUAAUGUGGGUGAGCAAAUGAGACAUUUUUUAAGCACUUCCUUUUAUCCAUAGGAAAUAGUCAUUUUCCAAAUAUCUAGCUUUACCCGUUGGAAACAAGCCUUUUCCAGCACUUCCUAUUACCCACUGGAAAUAAGCAGUUUCUAUUACUUCCUUUUACCAAUAGGAAAUAAUCUGUUUAUGGUACUAGCUUUACCUGCUGGAAAAUAGUAUGCCCUAGUGCUCCCUUUUAACCAUUAGAAAUAGGUUGGUUCCAGUACCUCCCUUUACCUAUUGGAAAUAAAGGAAAACCCUCACUCUCUAUAAAUUGGCACUCAUGGCUCAAGUAAAAGGCACCAAUUUUUCUUCAGCCAACACUCCCUAACUCAGCUGCUGCAAGCAUCCCAGCAGCCACCAACCCCCAUAAAGCAUCACCUAGCUCCAAGCUUUUCCUUCCUUCCAAGCUUUAAACACCAUAGCCUUCAAACCUCAAGCUUUUCCUUCCAUCAUCUUUCUCUUGAAACUCUUAAAUCCCCAUAGCCAUAGCCACACACAACAAAUUAUCAACACCAAACUCAAACAUAUCCAACACCAAGCCAAGCACAUGCAUUCUCAUUUGCUAAACUUGUGGGUCUUUAGCUCCCACACUCCAAGCUCUCAUGCCAAGCUCAUAUAAUCUCAUACCAACAUCAGCAAGUCAUCUUCAACUCUUCGUCGAGCUGCCGAAAACAUCAACGCAAAACACGCAGCCGAUGGAAGAAGAACAAAGUACUCUCCCGAGACUUGCUUCUCCCUCGGGAUACUUUGGGCCUAGUUCUCGCUAACUCAGACAAAGGGGCAACGAAGUCUUCAUUCAUCACUCUAUGGCGAUCCAAGAAUCAACAAAGCCCGGAUGAGCCUUCGGACGAAAAAGACCCCAACAGAUAUAAAAAUACCAUUUUUCCCCUGCAGUUAACAGAAAAGUUAACAGCCGGACCAUUUGUCCUAACGAAACUGAAGUUGAAGAACUACGGGAACCAUUUUGAAAAUUGAGGUACUCAAAUACAAAUCGGGUCUAAGUUCAGGGAUUAAUAAAACAAUUAACCCCUGAGUUUAUAAUGCUCGAGAGUAUAUAGGAAGAGGACACUCCAACUGGCAGCUAUGGAGGAGGCCAAGACUAGUAGUGUCUAUUCUGUGAAAGCUAACUUUGCUUUCUUAUUAUCCACAACUUAGAUAUAUCAAUGGCUUCUUGCAAGAACCUCAAUUCUUUAUGAACUUUCUGCCCUAAAAUGCUUUAUCUAAUAGCUCAGACAAUGGUGAAAGAAAAAAAAUUGUUGUUGGAAUCUUAGCAUAAUAAUAUUUUCCAGCCAAAAUCAGUUGUUAGAUUCUCCAACAGCACAAUCUCUUUUCGCAAUCACAUACUAGUCAAUCCUACAGAGCAUAAGAUCCUACUUUGAGGGGUGGAAAGGAAUGAAUUCAACUCACCACUAUUAUGACCAAGGCAAUAAUUUUCAUUUCCAUCACAUGAUUCUAGGUGACCCACAACUCCAUACCACCAACCUGCAAUAUAUACAGAAAAUCCUAUCAAGCAAUGGACAAUGGGAAAUUAAUUAAUUUCACCUUUUAUUUAAGUUUCUGCAUAUUAAACGAAUCUACUUUCAUUAUAUAUUUAAGGGAAAUGUAAGCCUUUUUUUUCGUUCUUUACCCUUUUUUUUCCUCACCUUAAUGGGGCUUGAGGAUGUUUGAAUUGUUCGCUAGAACUACUUUCAUUAUCUAUUUGAGGCAUACUUCAUGAACCACAUGGAUUCUAGGAAGUGAUAUAGACCUUUGUUUCUUUCAUUUGAGCCCUUCUAGCCAACCCGUAUCACUUUUAUCCCUUGUUAAUCACCUUGUGCCUUUUAUGUAAGCCUUUUUUUUCGUUCUUUACCCUUUUUUCCUCACCUUAAUCUAUCAUAUGUUACCCUUCUAAGGAGUUUUGUACAGUAUUUUCGUUGUUAAGGGAGAAUUGCACAACAAUCAUGUGGAAAGUAAAGGAUACUAUUUCCAAAAAAAAAACCUAAUUUCAAACCCUUUUCAACUCGAGUUAUUGAGCCCUAUGAGUGUUUUACAUUUAAUUUCGUAAAGCUAUGUAGCUUGGGAGUCAUUGGCCUAACACUCGCUGCAUGGGUUGAUUAGAAAGCUAAUGAAGAGUUAGAAAAAAAAAUUGUGAAAAAUAAAUAAAUUUCAAGACAGUAUCAAUAUGAAGUUGCGUGCUCAAAGUGCAAGAUGUUAUAAUUUUCAUGGAAAGCUCUAUGAAUUCCUUAGAAUUUGUUCAUCCAUAUCUUUUUCUUGUUUCACCCGUCACUCUAAGCCCCAUUACAACCUUAUUUGAAGACUAUUCUGCUAUUUUCUCAAGGCGUGCAAUAUAUGACUGGAAAGAUAAGAUAAAGACCUACAAUUUACAUAUUUUUUCAGAAUUUUCUCGGAGGAGGAAUGAUUCCAAACGUGGGUGCAAAGUAACUAACGUGUUAUCCUAGUCCAAGUAGGAAGAUGAGUCAAUUACUUACCCAUUUUGGAUUUAAGUUUUAAUUAGCUGUUUCUUUAUUUUUGGGCUGUUGUAAAAGGCCAGCUAAGGUAGGAAUAGACGUGUGGCAUUUUAUUUAAGCAUGAGACAACUCCUUUGGGAAGACGCAAAGACUAGGAGAAAUUGGAGACGCCGGAAGAGUACCACAAUUGGCUAAGUUUUAUUGUUUCUUCCUUAUGUUUUUGUUUAUGUCAAAUUCUAUGAUUAUGUGUAACUAAUUUUAUUUUGCUAGGGCAUGAUGUAUGCCUAGUAUGAUAAUCUAGUUUUCUUAUUUUACCUAUCUAUUGAUUGCAGUUUGAUGUUAGAUUCUUAAUCACUGUGCUUAGUACCUUAGUUGAUUACCUUGAUGCUUGAUCACCAUCUAGACUUUUAAUUGAGUUAAUCGGAUGCGAAUUAGAGUAAAUACCAUACUUAAUUUGAGGUUUGCUUCUUGUGAUUAGAAUUUGUAAUUUGUCUAAAGUAAAUACCAUACUCCUAGAAUUUACAUGCUUGUUGGAGGUUUUCACUGAUUUCAAUAUUUUCCCGACAUGUGAUGCCAACAACAUAGAUGUUUCAAUGUUUCACUAUGGAAGCAAUCACGUAAGGAUUAACAUGGCAGGACAUCAGACAUGAGAAACUAAGAAGAGAGAGAGAGAGAGAGAGAGAGACUUGCCAUUCAAGCAAGAGAAGGCCAUAACACUAUAUAGCAAUAGCACCGUAAAAUAAGAUGCAAAGAAUGAGGGGGUCAUGUUUUCAAGUACCAAAACACGCAAGGGCAUUUUGGUAAAGUACAUCUGAAAAUAAAUCAAGGCAAGCAAAGCCGUAGAUAUCCUCUUCCUGCUACACAUAGUAUUAGCCUACGUAAGGUCAUUACGGCGCCGUUUCCCUUUUUAAUUGGCGUAGUUCAACUCAUCAUCCACCCAAGUUCAUUUCGUUCAAAGCUAUAAAUAACCCCUCAAACCAUUCAACUUUCCCACCACCACUCCUCACUCCUUCAACUCAUUAACCUCUCUCUCUCUCUCUCUCUCUCUCUCUCUCUCUCUCAUCCGCAAAUGGCGAACCGUAGAAGCCUCUUUUCUCUCUCACUUAUCUUUGUGUUCAUGAUCAACUCAGCCAUAGCCACUCCAGUCACAUACAAUGUGGCCAGUUUAGGAGCCAAAGCAGAUGGCAAGACUGACUCCACAAAAGCCUUCCUCUCUGCAUGGGCUAAAGCUUGUGCCUCGAUGAAUCCCGGUGUCAUUUAUGUGCCGGCAGGAACGUUCUUUCUUCGCGAUGUGGUGUUCAGUGGGCCUUGCAAGAACAAUGCCAUCACCUUCCGCAUUGCCGGAACCCUUGUGGCCCCGUCGGAUUACCGGGUCAUCGGUAAUGCAGCUAACUGGAUUUUCUUUCACCAUGUAAACGGGGUUACCAUAUCAGGUGGAAUUCUUGACGGCCAAGGCACGGCCUUGUGGGCUUGCAAGGCCUCUCAUGGCGAGAGUUGUCCCAGCGGAGCAACGGUAAUUAAUUCACUACUUUAAAUAUCAUAUUCAUGACACCAUUAAAUAUCAAAUUCAUGACACCAUUAUUUUGUGCUUCAUUAUUAGUGAGAAUUUUAAAGGUCAACGUACGUACAAUUUGCUUUAUUAUUUGCUACCAAUUGAAUUGAGGGUUUAUAAAAUAAGUUCAAACUCCACAGAACGUAAUCAAAUGGACAUGAUAAAUUGUACCACAAGUUUAGCUUGAUCAAGUAAUUUCGUAAUAUGUGCAGACUUUGGGUUUUUCCGACUCAAACAACAUCGUGGUGAGUGGAUUGGCAUCCCUAAACAGCCAAAUGUUCCAUAUAGUCAUCAACGACUGCCAAAAUGUGCAAAUGCAAGGUGUCAGGGUUUCUGCUUCCGGUAAUAGCCCUAACACCGAUGGCAUUCAUGUCCAAAUGUCAUCUGGUGUCACAAUCCUCAACUCCAAGAUUGCAACCGGUGACGAUUGUGUCUCAAUUGGCCCCGGAACCUCAAAUUUGUGGAUAGAAGGCGUUGCUUGUGGACCUGGCCAUGGAAUUAGGUACGACAUCAAAAUUAUAUAUUUAUCCAUGAUUGAUUAAACUAGCUAAAUGCAUACUAUUUCAUAAUAUAUGUUAUAAUGUAUAUCUUUUUUCUUCAUUGCUUAAUGACAUUUGAACUUAGGACAUCUUUCAAUAAAGUGGAGAUUAAUUGAUUGCUAGUAGAGAUUCAUUGCCUACAAAAAGUAUAUCUUUCUUUUGGGUGGAUGUUCUAGUUGUAAAUUUAACAUUGCUUUACUUGAUGGUUCAGCAUUGGAAGUCUAGGCAAGGAGCAAGAAGAGGCCGGUGUACAAAAUGUAACAGUUAAAACGGUUACCUUUAGUGGUACUCAGAAUGGUCUAAGAAUCAAGUCAUGGGGGAGGCCAAGCACUGGGUUUGCUAGAAAUAUUCUUUUCCAACAUGCUACAAUGGUCAAUGUCGAAAAUCCUAUUGUCAUAGAUCAACAUUAUUGCCCCGACAACAAAGGGUGCCCUGGUCAGGUAAGAUAUCAUUCAUGCUCUAAAAAUCAGUUCCCAAAGUUUAAUAUUACAACUCAAUUUUCUCUUCUUCACAUUGAUAAAAACGUUGGCAUCACCAAAUUAUAACUGUCUAAGUUCGAAACAUAUCAAAAGCUUUCUUGGGCUUCCACCUAGAAGAGCCAAUAAUUUUAGGCCCAAAGCAAAUCCAAUAACUCCUUCCUCCAUGGGCUUGCUCUCCUACUACUUACAAAGAUCGAGCCUUGCUCAUUGUAACCUUUGUAACUUAUUAAUGGAAUUGAGGGUUGUAGCUCAAGUGGUUAACAACAUUUACUCUGGUAUUCGAAGUCCUAGAUUUAAUUCCCCUCUUUUCCAAUACCAUUUUUAUCAAAAUGACUUCAUCGUAGCUUAGCCAAAAAAGCAUUGAAUCCCAUUAAGCCGAAUUCCCAUGCUAUAAUACUUGUUCACCUUCUGUUUUAUCAAAAGCUGGAAAUCUGACUUCGUAUUGUUUUUUUUUUCUUUUGUCAAUUUUGUUUUUCAAUAGGUUUCCGGAGUUCAAAUUAGCGAUGUGACAUACGAAGACAUACACGGUACAUCAGCAACAGAAGUUGCAGUAAAAUUUGAUUGCAGUCCCAAGCACCCUUGCAGCGAGAUCAAAUUGGAGGAUGUGAAGCUUACUUACAAGAACCAAGCAGCUGAGUCUUCAUGUAGCCAUGCAGAUGGAACAACUGAGGGUGUGGUUCAGCCUACAAGUUGUUUGUAGAGUGGAAAAAUAUGAACUGCUUGUAGAAGUAUUGAAAUCCAAAAGUUUGCCCUCCAGUACUAAGGACAAAUGAAAAGUGAAUUAUACGAUUUAUAGGAAGAAUAAGCUUGUGGCGUUGGCAGCCUAUUUCGGCUCCCUUGAUCCUGGCCGUUCAAUUAGUUUAGUUUGUUCAAACUCGUCCACUUCGAUGGGUGUUUAUGUUAUAUGAACUGUUGUAAGAUUAUGUCCGGAAGACGUUAAAUUUACAAGAUUAAAUUUUAUUUUGAUGGCUGAUGUGGCAUUUGACAUAGAAUUCAAUAUUCUAUCAAUUUAAUUCACAAUUUUAUUAUAAUCGGAAGCACACAUUAAAUAGUAAAAAUUUGGUUCAAGAAACAAAAGGAUUUCAACACUCGCAUGAACUUUUUGGUUGGAGCAUUUUCUCAUGCCAAAUUUUACCCGUUAAAAAUUUAUUAUGGUAUUUUGACAUUUUGGUUGGAGCAUUUUCUCAUGUCAAAUUUUACCCGUUAAAAAUUUACUAUGAUAUUUUAACAUUUCGAUUGGAGAUGUAUAAAUGUUAAAUAUGCAUUGAUUCAAGAUGCAUUUUUGUUUCUUAUUCUUGAGCUUUGAGCUUUAGGUAAUUAACUUGAAUGCUGUUGGGCACCUUGCACUAGUUGAUUAAAGAAAAAUAGACCCGAAGCAAGAUUCCUUGUAGUUGCCAAUUCGAAGUUUUCUUUAUCGCUACAUACUUACUGGUCUACAACUUCUCUCUCUAAUACAUAAUUUGACAUAAAUAAAUACAAUGAAGAGUGCAUUGACUAAACAAAACAAAACAAAAAAGCAGCACGUAAGCACUUACGUGCAUUUGGUGUAAAAGCUAAAGGCCUCUGAUUUAUGUAAGCAGUUACGCUAAUCAUAUUAUAUUAUAUGUAUCUUGGCUCUGUAAUUGUAACGGAAAUAACACUGUUUUGUUAUUCUCAACCAAUAACACAAUGAUACGUGGAAAAGUUAUUUCACGUGUCAUUGCGUUAUUGGUUGAGAUAUAUCUUUCCCUUUCAAUUUUUGUAAACAUAUAUACCAAAUGUUAUGCUCAAAUAUAUAUUAAUUGUUAGACAUUGUUACCUUAAAAAAAAAAAUGUAUUGCAAAAUACAAGUUUGAUCAUAUGAUUAAUUUAAUUUUGUUGGUGUAAACGUGCAGCCAAUAUAUGGGUAUGGAGUCUCUGGGCACCCAGAUUUGAAGGCAGGUGACUUAGUUUGGGGGACUACCUAUUGGGAAGAGUACAGCCGAAUCCCUGAACCCGAAGGCCUGAUCAAAAUCCAGCACACUGAUGUACCUCUAUCCUAUUAUACUGGAAUUCUUGGUAACAAGUCAAACCUAUUUUAGAUCAUGAUGAUAUGUGUUGGUUUAGAUACGUAAGUGUAUUUUUUGUAAUUUCAUUUCAGGUAUGCCUGGUUUGACCGCUUAUGUUGGUUUCUAUGAAAUUUGUUCUCCUAAGAAAGGAGAACAUGUCUUCAUUUCAGCAGCAGCUGGUGCUGUUGGUCAGCUUGUUGGACAAUUUGCAAAAUUAAUGGGUUGUUAUGUUGUUGGAAGUGCUGGCAGUAAGGAAAAGGUACGAACUUGAGAAAUCUUUGAACUUCAAAUUAAUAUUAUCUACACCAUUUUUUCUUGUUUGGGUUGUAUUUUGCCGUUGUUAUUUGGGCCAACUUUGGUGUUGGUUUGGGUUGGGGCUUCUGUUUGUGUUGUUGAAUUGGGUCUUUUAGUUGUUUUUGUAAACUCUGACUUAACCAUUUUCUUUGCGUGUGCUAAAUUUAUAAUUUUGACCAGUGUCACGCAGGAAAUGUUUCAUGCUUUGUUAACAGGGGACUUUAGAGGAGUAUUUUAUUCAGAUGAAAAGUGAUUCAUUCCUUUCCUUUAUGGAUUCAUCUUGUUAGGUUGAUCUAUUGAAGAAUGAGCUUGGAUUUGAUGAGGCUUUUAACUAUAAAGAAGAGACUGACUUGAAUGCGGCUUUCAAAAGGUACAUAUGAGUAAUGAUAGAGAGAUUAGAUUUAUAAACCCUAGCGUACCAUGAAUACAAUGAGUUUCAACUCUAUUAGACAAGUUGUUAUUUGACAGGUGGUAUACAAAGCAAUCUAUAAAUGUGAUCUCCCUAUUAUUUUUCGUAAAAUACAUAUUUAUUAUGUUAUACUAGUUUCCUUUAGUAAGAAAAGAAAGGAAAAAAACGAUUAUAAAGAAUUUGUGUGUUGUCAGGGUUCGUUAUUCGACUGGGCCAACUCAAAAAUUUUGGGUUCGAGUCGAGCCCUCAUGGGCCUAAAUGGGCCAGACUUUUUGUUUUAGAAAGUCUUUUAAAUCUUUUUGUUACACAUUUCAUUUUUUCAAAAGUGAUGGAUAUAGAGUAUUCUUUUAAACAAUAGUAUAGAUUACUACAUAAUUUAAGAAAACAAAAAUAUAAUGGCCAAACUUUUUUACUAAACCUAGACCAAUAACCAAUAUAUUUAAAAAAUAUUAUACCUAAAAAUGAAUCUUAUAAUGUGCAAUUUGUGCCUUAAUUAACUUAUAUCCCAAAUUAGGAUUGACAUCAUGAAAAUUAAAGCAACUUGUGCCUUUAAAAUUAAUAAACCCAGAAUAAGCUUUCAAAUUCUUUAUUGAACCAUUAAAUUUGAACUUGACAAAAAAGGGGCACUAAGAGAUAUGGUGCAUAUAUUGCUUGUUUGUUACAAAAUUUUAGACAACAUUGAAAAAAUUAACUUAAUUUAUAAUAUGUGUAAACAAAAAAAAAAAAAAAAAAAAAAGCAUAAGGGGGCGGGCCUAACCAUCCUGUUAGGCCGGACUUUGGCCCAUCAGGCCUCGGACUACCCACUUCGGGGCCGCGGGCCAAAUGAUGAUCCUUAUAUGUUGUAUAUGAUGCUUUGAAGCUUGAGCUUUCUUGAGUGAAGAAUAAAUUUUCUUUGUAAUUACCAUACACUUGUCAGGUAUUUCCCUGAAGGCAUUGAUAUUUACUUUGAGAAUGUUGGAGGCAAAACGCUAGACGCAGUGCUCCUCAACAUGAGAGUCCAUGGCCGCAUUGCUGUAUGUGGAAUGGUCUCACAGUACAAUCUUGAUCAAGCAGAAAGGGUAACAAAUUUGAUGCACCUUGUGUACAAACGUAUCCGCCUCCAUCGAUUUUCGGUAAGAGAUCACUAUCACCUCCAUCCGAAAUUCGUGGAGUUUAUGCUGCCUUACAUUAGGCAAGGAAAGAUUGUUUAUGUGGAAGACAUAGUUGAAGGCCUUGAGAGUGGUCCAAGAGCGCUGGUUGGACUUUUUAAGGGUCUUAACUUUGGAAAACAAGUAGUUGACGUCUCUGCAUG
This 40190-nucleotide long non-coding RNA is filed under the name Prunus persica (peach). Its description in RNAcentral is "long non-coding RNA (PPER_LNC004544)". Lineage: Eukaryota; Viridiplantae; Streptophyta; Magnoliopsida; Rosales; Rosaceae. The record is from RNAcentral.